AGUGAACGCUGGCGGCAGGCCUAACACAUGCAAGUCGAACGGCAGGACAGUAAGCGUUCGCCUCUACGGGUGGCGACUGGCGGACGGGUGACGCAUACAUCGGAAUCCACUUUUUCGUGGGGGACUACGUAGGGCAACUUACGCUACUACCGCAUAUGAUCUACGGGUGAAAGCAGGGGUUCAUCGGACCUUUCCUGACUGUAUGAGCUGAUGUCGGAUUAGCUAGUUGGCGGGGUAAAGGCCCACCAAGGCAACGAUCCGUAGCUGGUCUGAGAGGAUGAUCGGCCACACUGGAACUGAGACACGGUCCAGACUCCUACGGGAGGCAGCAGUAGGGAAUAUUCGGCAAUGGGCGCAAGCCUGAUCCAGCAAUGCCGCGUGAGUGAUGAAGGCCUUCGGGUUGUAAAGCCCUUUUAUUAGGAAAGAAAAACAGCGGGUGAAUCCACCGCUGUUCUGACGGUACCCAAUGAGUAAGCACCGGCUAACUUCGUG
Molecule: ribosomal RNA, 492 nt
Filed under: uncultured bacterium
Lineage: Bacteria
Description: partial 16S ribosomal RNA
Rfam family: Bacterial small subunit ribosomal RNA
Source: RNAcentral